GUUUCUGUAGUGUAGCGGUUAUCACGUUUGCCUAACAUAAAAAAGGUCCUCGGUUCGAAACCGAGCAGAAACA
RNAcentral lists this transfer RNA (73 nucleotides) under Anguilla anguilla (European eel). RNAcentral describes it as "tRNA-Val". Lineage: Eukaryota; Metazoa; Chordata; Actinopteri; Anguilliformes; Anguillidae. The record is from RNAcentral.